AGUGAACGCUGGCGGUAGGCCUAACACAUGCCAGUCGAACGGCAGCACAGUAAGAGCUUGCUCUUACGGGUGGCGAGUGGCGGACGGGUGAGGAAUACAUCGGAAUCUACUUUUUCGUGGGGGAUAACGUAGGGAAACUUACGCUAAUACCGCAUACGACCUACGGGUGAAAGCAGGGGAUCUUCGGACCUUGCGCGAUUGAAUGAGCCGAUGUCGGAUUAGCUAGUUGGCGGGGUAAAGGCCCACCAAGGCGACGAUCCGUAGCUGGUCUGAGAGGAUGAUCAGCCACACUGGAACUGAGACACGGUCCAGACUCCUACGGGAGGCAGCAGUGGAGAAUAUUGGACAAUGGGCGCAAGCCUGAUCCAGCCAUACCGCGUGGGUGAAGAAGGCCUUCGGGUUGUAAAGCCCUUUUGUUGGGAAAGAAAAGCAGCAGGUUAAUACCCCGCUGUUCUGACGGUACCCAAAGAAUAAGCACCGGCUAACUUCGUG
Molecule: ribosomal RNA, 492 nt
Filed under: uncultured bacterium
Lineage: Bacteria
Description: partial 16S ribosomal RNA
Rfam family: Bacterial small subunit ribosomal RNA
Source: RNAcentral